UGGGGGCGCAGUCACGCCGGGGCCGACCGGCCGCGAACGCCCGCGGGGAGCGGGAGAGGGUUUGCUCUGGCUACGGAGCUGGGAGCAGGGUGCUGGUGACGGGGCUCCCAGCACCUACUCAGUACCCUUCACCCAACCCCUGCCUCGGGCGUGGACUCCCGGCGGAGGCUCUGGGAGCCGGGCUGAGGGCUUGAGCCUAGCGUAUCUGGGAGAACUGGAGAGAGGAGUCUCAGAUGGCUAAAGUCAGGGGCGCCAGUUGGAGAGCCGGUGGCUCCUCCGAUACUCACACGCCCGGAUUUAACCAGUUCAGGGAGGGCCCAGAACCUAGACCUCCACCAGUCAUGGUGGGCUGUGUCUCCCACCUCCCCAGGGCAACCCAGAUCCAGCCCCCAACCUACCCCGGGCCCAUUCCUGUGUGGGCACCCGGACCCUACCCUUGCCCCACAGAGUGGCCCGCAGCCCCUGGCGGGGAGAGCAAGGGCUGUGAUUGGGGCCCAACAGAAACAGGAUAUUCAGAAGGGGCUUUCCCUCCUGAGGGACCACAUCUCCAAGCUUCAGACUUCCAGACAAGUCCCAGGGCACGGACGUGACCCAUUACGAACAGGCAGUGAAGCUGUGGCAGGGCUGGAGCUGCCCCAGGCUCUGGCAUCAUCCCCGAGGGCUGGAGCUCACUCCCCGCUAGAGGCUUUUCCGGACCCCACGUCCACAGGCAGGUGCAUCUGGUGAAGCUUUCGGCCACAGUUGGAGUGCAGUGGUGCCAUCUCCCUUCACGACGAACUCCACCCCCCAUCCCCAGGAUCAAGCGAUCCUCCCACCUCAGCCUCCCAGAGCUGGGACCACAGAUGCGUGCCACCACGCC
Molecule: long non-coding RNA, 859 nt
Filed under: Homo sapiens (human)
Lineage: Eukaryota; Metazoa; Chordata; Mammalia; Primates; Hominidae
Description: HSALNT0388130
Source: RNAcentral